UGAUAAAAACUCCAUCCAUUUUUACUUUUAAAAAUUGGUGUAAUUGACAAAAUAACUCGACAGUUACAUUUGACGUGCCACAUUUACCUUGUGCUAGUUUACCACGACAGUUUCUAAAAGUAGAAAUGGAUGAACUUUAUAUCA
MicroRNA precursor from Gossypium arboreum, 144 nucleotides. It matches the Rfam family "MIR7502 microRNA precursor family". NCBI's taxonomy places the organism in Eukaryota, Viridiplantae, Streptophyta, Magnoliopsida, Malvales, Malvaceae. The record is from Rfam.